Molecule: ribosomal RNA, 468 nt
Filed under: uncultured bacterium
Lineage: Bacteria
Description: partial 16S ribosomal RNA
Rfam family: Bacterial small subunit ribosomal RNA
Source: RNAcentral
GACGAACGCUGGCGGCGUGCUUAACACAUGCAAGUCGAACGGAAAGGCCCUGCUUUUGUGGGGUGCUCGAGUGGCGAACGGGUGAGUAACACGUGAGUAACCUGCCCUUGACUUUGGGAUAACUUCAGGAAACUGGGGCUAAUACCGGAUAGGAGCUCCUGCUGCAUGGUGGGGGUUGGAAAGUUUCGGCGGUUGGGGAUGGACUCGCGGCUUAUCAGCUUGUUGGUGGGGUAGUGGCUUACCAAGGCUUUGACGGGUAGCCGGCCUGAGAGGGUGACCGGCCACAUUGGGACUGAGAUACGGCCCAGACUGCUACGGGAGGCAGCAGUGGGGAAUAUUGCACAAUGGGCGGAAGCCUGAUGCAGCAACGCCGCGUGCGGGAUGACGGCCUUCGGGGUGUAAACCGCUUUAGCCUGUGACGAAGCGUGAGUGACGGUAAUGGGUAAAGAAGCACCGGCUAACUACGUG